AGAUUGAACGCUGGCGGCAUGCCUUACACAUGCAAGUCGAACGGCAGCACGGGAGCAAUCCUGGUGGCGAGUGGCGAACGGGUGAGUAAUAUAUCGGAACGUGCCCAGUCGUGGGGGAUAACGCAGCGAAAGCUGUGCUAAUACCGCAUACGAUCUAUGGAUGAAAGCGGGGGAUCGCAAGACCUCGCGCGAUUGGAGCGGCCGAUAUCAGAUUAGCUAGUUGGUGGGGUAAAAGCCUACCAAGGCGACGAUCUGUAGCUGGUCUGAGAGGACGACCAGCCACACUGGAACUGAGACACGGUCCAGACUCCUACGGGAGGCAGCAGUGGGGAAUUUUGGACAAUGGGCGCAAGCCUGAUCCAGCAAUGCCGCGUGCAGGAUGAAGGCCUCGGUUGUAAACGUGACUUCUGUACGGAACGAAACGGUUCUACUCUAAUACAGGGCGUAAUGACGGUACGUAACGAAUAAGACACGGCUAACUACGUACG
RNAcentral lists this ribosomal RNA (488 nucleotides) under uncultured soil bacterium. RNAcentral's name for it is "bacterial SSU rRNA". It matches the Rfam family "Bacterial small subunit ribosomal RNA", at positions 26 to 509 of the family's 1533-position model. The record is from RNAcentral.